This 431-nucleotide ribosomal RNA is filed under the name uncultured bacterium. RNAcentral describes it as "partial 16S ribosomal RNA". It matches the Rfam family "Bacterial small subunit ribosomal RNA", at positions 29 to 507 of the family's 1533-position model. The record is from RNAcentral.
AACGAACGCUGGCGGCAGGCCUAACACAUGCAAGUCGAGCGCCCUUUCGGGGGAGCGGCGGACGGGUGAGUAACGCGUGGGAAUAUGCCCUUCUCUACGGAAUAGCCUCGGGAAACUGAGAGUAAUACCGUAUACGCCCUGUGGGGGAAAGAUUUAUCGGGGAAGGAUUAGCCCGCGUUGGAUUAGGUAGUUGGUGGGGUAAUGGCCUACCAAGCCGACGAUCCAUAGCUGGUUUGAGAGGAUGAUCAGCCACACUGGGACUGAGACACGGCCCAGACUCCUACGGGAGGCAGCAGUGGGGAAUCUUAGACAAUGGGGGCAACCCUGAUCUUGCCAUGCCGCGUGAGUGAUGAAGGCCUUAGGGUUGUAAAGCUCUUUCAGCUGGGAAGAUAAUGACGGUACCAGCAGAAGAAGCCCCGGCUAACUCCGUG